GCCUGUAGCUUAGUCAGGGUAGAGCGCCGGGCUUUUAACCCGGUGGCCGGGGGUUCGAAUCCCUCCAGGC
Molecule: transfer RNA, 70 nt
Filed under: Candidatus Poseidoniales archaeon
Lineage: Archaea; Methanobacteriati; Thermoplasmatota; Candidatus Poseidoniia; Candidatus Poseidoniales
Description: tRNA-Lys
Rfam family: tRNA
About the family: Transfer RNA (tRNA) molecules are approximately 80 nucleotides in length. Their secondary structure includes four short double-helical elements and three loops (D, anti-codon, and T loops). Further hydrogen bonds mediate the characteristic L-shaped molecular structure. tRNAs have two regions of fundamental functional importance: the anti-codon, which is responsible for specific mRNA codon recognition, and the 3' end, to which the tRNAs corresponding amino acid is attached (by aminoacyl-tRNA synthetases). tRNAs cope with the degeneracy of the genetic code in two manners: having more than one tRNA (with a specific anti-codon) for a particular amino acid; and 'wobble' base-pairing, i.e. permitting non-standard base-pairing at the 3rd anti-codon position.
Source: RNAcentral